CGGCAGCACGGGGGCAACCCUGGUGGCGAGUGGCGAACGGGUGAGUAAUACAUCGGAACGUGUCCUGUAGUGGGGGAUAGCCCGGCGAAAGCCGGAUUAAUACCGCAUACGCUCUACGGAGGAAAGGGGGGGAUCUNAGGACCUCCCGCUACAGGGGCGGCCGAUGGCAGAUUAGCUAGUUGGUGGGGUAAAGGCCUACCAAGGCGACGAUCUGUAGCUGGUCUGAGAGGACGACCAGCCACACUGGGACUGAGACACGGCCCAGACUCCUACGGGAGGCAGCAGUGGGGAAUUUUGGACAAUGGGCGAAAGCCUGAUCCAGCAAUGCCGCGUGUGUGAAGAAGGCCUUCGGGUUGUAAAGCACUUUUGUCCGGAAAGAAAACCUCCGCCCUAAUAUGGUGGGGGGAUGACGGUACCGGAAGAAUAAGCACCGGCUAACUACGUGCCAGCAGCCGCGGUAAUACGUAGGGUGCAAGCGUUAAUCGGAAUUACUGGGCGUAAAGCGUGCGCAGGCGGUCCGCUAAGACANAUGUGAAAUCCCCGGGCUUAACCUGGGAACUGCAUUUGUGACUGGCGGGCUAGAGUAUGGCAGAGGGGGGUAGAAUUCC
This 608-nucleotide ribosomal RNA is filed under the name Paraburkholderia sp. RNAcentral's name for it is "bacterial SSU rRNA". It matches the Rfam family "Bacterial small subunit ribosomal RNA", at positions 67 to 670 of the family's 1533-position model. The record is from RNAcentral. Lineage: Bacteria; Pseudomonadati; Pseudomonadota; Betaproteobacteria; Burkholderiales; Burkholderiaceae.